RNAcentral lists this ribosomal RNA (253 nucleotides) under uncultured bacterium. RNAcentral describes it as "partial 16S ribosomal RNA". It matches the Rfam family "Bacterial small subunit ribosomal RNA", at positions 524 to 776 of the family's 1533-position model. The record is from RNAcentral.
UACAGAGGUCCCAAGCGUUGUUCGGAUUCACUGGGCGUAAAGAGCUCGUAGGCGGUUUGUCGCGUCUGCCGUGAAAGUCCGGGGCUCAACUCCGGAUCUGCGGUGGGUACGGGCAGACUAGAGUGAUGUAGGGGAGACUGGAAUUCCUGGUGUAGCGGUGAAAUGCGCAGAUAUCAGGAGGAACACCGAUGGCGAAGGCAGGUCUCUGGGCAUUAACUGACGCUGAGGAGCGAAAGCAUGGGGAGCGAACAGG